Molecule: ribosomal RNA, 301 nt
Filed under: uncultured bacterium
Lineage: Bacteria
Description: partial 16S ribosomal RNA
Rfam family: Bacterial small subunit ribosomal RNA
Source: RNAcentral
CAGUAGCCACGGUAAUACGUAGGUGGCGAGCGUUGUCCGGAAUUAUUGGGCGUAAAGGGAGCGCAGGCGGACAUAUAAGUCCAUCUUAAAAGUGCGGGGCUCAACCCCGUGAGGGGAUGGAAACUGUAUGCCUUGAGUGCAGGAGAGGAAAGCGGAAUUCCCAGUGUAGCGGUGAAAUGCGUAGAUAUUGGGAGGAACACCAGUGGCGAAGGCGGCUUUCUGGACUGCAACUGACGCUGAGGCUCGAAAGCGUGGGGAGCAAACAGGAUUAGAUACCCCAGUAGUCCCUGUCUCUUAUACA